UCUUGCUUCCCAGCACAUGGUCAUCUUGCUGAGACACCUUUUUGCUGAACGGAGCUUUGGUGAAAACAUCGAAGUCAUCCUGCUCUUGGCUCAGGCUAGGAAAUGCAGUCUGAGAAGAGACGUCUUGGUUGCCCUUCUCUCUUGCCUGAGGCUGAAGAGAAAAAAAGGGCACUGCCCCAAAUACAUCAAAUUCCUGGCCAGGGCUCACUUUGACAACAGUAGUUGGCACCUCAGGUGUUUGCAUUAAACUGCGUUCUUUAACUUCACUGCUACCCAUAACAUUUCUGAAUCUACUGCUUGGGAGCCCUUCCACAAAUUUUUGUUUGGUACGAUCAGAUUCAGAGUCAGAACUUUGCUUCUCCUCCUCCUCUUCUUCCAGCUCUUCCUCAGAGUCCAUGAGCAGAGGGCGGUGGCCUAAAUUCUCCGGUUCCGUAUCAUUGUCAUCAUUGAAGUCUCCAUUCUCACCUUGCAAGACCUCCUCAUCCUCUUGCUCUUCUUCCUCCUCACUACUCUUAGGAGAGGGAGGAUCUGAUUCAAAAUCGCUCUCUGACUCAUCACCACCUUUCGUCACUUGUCCCUCUGCAGUCUUCCUUCCUGGCCGAGGAUCUUUAAAAGCAUGACUCAGUCUUCCAGCUUUGGUAGGGGUCCCUAAGUUGUUUCCUUGAUUGCUGGCUGAGUUCUCCACUUGUUUUCCAGGGGAAUCUGGGUGAGAAAUGAAAGGAACAGAACCAAAGGGAUCUUCGGGAGGACUUUUCUGUGGAGCAGAAUGUAGCUCCACAUUCUUAUCUGAAGUUGUUCUCCUGUCCACCAGCCUGUUUGAUCUUAGCAGGUCAAAUUCUCUGUCCA
Molecule: long non-coding RNA, 846 nt
Filed under: Gallus gallus (chicken)
Lineage: Eukaryota; Metazoa; Chordata; Aves; Galliformes; Phasianidae
Source: RNAcentral